Molecule: ribosomal RNA, 619 nt
Filed under: uncultured bacterium
Lineage: Bacteria
Description: bacterial SSU rRNA
Rfam family: Bacterial small subunit ribosomal RNA
Source: RNAcentral
CCUACGGGAGGCAGCAGUGGGGAAUUUUGGACAAUGGGCGCAAGCCUGAUCCAGCAAUGCCGCGUGAGUGAAGAAGGCCUUCGGGUUGUAAAGCUCUUUUGUCAGGGAAGAAACGGCUGAGGCUAAUACCUUCGGCUAAUGACGGUACCUGAAGAAUAAGCACCGGCUAACUACGUGCCAGCAGCCGCGGUAAUACGUAGGGUGCAAGCGUUAAUCGGAAUUACUGGGCGUAAAGCGUGCGCAGGCGGUUUUGUAAGUCUGACGUGAAAUCCCCGGGCUCAACCUGGGAAUUGCGUUGGAGACUGCAAGGCUGGAGUCUGGCAGAGGGGGGUAGAAUUCCACGUGUAGCAGUGAAAUGCGUAGAGAUGUGGAGGAACACCGAUGGCGAAGGCAGCCCCCUGGGUCAAGACUGACGCUCAUGCACGAAAGCGUGGGGAGCAAACAGGAUUAGAUACCCUGGUAGUCCACGCCCUAAACGAUGUCUACUAGUUGUCGGGUCUUAAUUGACUUGGUAACGCAGCUAACGCGUGAAGUAGACCGCCUGGGGAGUACGGUCGCAAGAUUAAAACUCAAAGGAAUUGACGGCUGAGAGNGACGACGACGACGACGAGGGAGGAGG